This 1374-nucleotide long non-coding RNA is filed under the name Solanum lycopersicum (tomato). RNAcentral's name for it is "partial TCONS_00158026". Lineage: Eukaryota; Viridiplantae; Streptophyta; Magnoliopsida; Solanales; Solanaceae. The record is from RNAcentral.
GUCACUUGCUUAAAAUUAGAAGACGAUUAUGACUAUUAAUCCAUGUAUAUAUAUCUUGUUAAUCCUACCGUGUUAUCAAGAAAAUAUAUUACAAUUCUUUCAUUUUAAAUUUUAUGUUUUCAUCAUUAUUCUACUUAGUAUCAAGAGCGUUUGUUUUUUUCGAUAAAUAAUGGGCAUAACUUUUCGAUUGUGGAGUUCCAUUUCAAACCUUUCAUUAAAGGAAAGGGCCUCCUUGGAAUUAUGGAUUGAUCAAAGGAGGUACCCGCAGAAGAUAAAGAAAAAAAAGCUUGGUAUGCUGACAAUGGAAAUAUUAUCACAUGGCUAGUCAAAUCUGUCUUUGUAGAUAUAGCUACGGAAUUGACAUUGUUUGAGAAAGCAUCAGAAAUGUUGAGUAAGCUACAUAAACUCGGUAACCAAAAAAAUCUGGCUAGAGAAUUAGAAUUAAAAACUACUUGCGGAAUCUACACAAGGUGAGAAAAAUGUUUGUUCUUUUUAAUCUGUAUUACGUACAUUAUGGACAGAGCAAGAUCAGGUUUUUUCUGCCUGCAUCCCUGUGGAUGGAUUGAACUUAGAAGGACUUCAUGGCUACAAAGAAAAGAACAAGGAUUGUACAAUUUCUAAUGAAAAUCAGGCCUGAGUCAAAGUAUUUGUGUGCUAAUAAUAUUAACAAUAAAAACUACAAGCUUUGUAUGUGGUAGUUUGUGAUGUCCUAGAAGAUACUCGAUUAAGUUCUCAAGCUUCUAUGGAGAACUCCCUUACAAUGGAAAUUGCCAUAGCUGCAUACAAAGAAUCAUCUUUCUCAAGCAACUCCAACAAGCCUAUUCAAUGCAAUCAUACAAGGAAAAGGAAAUAAAAUGUCCAAAGCUGAAUGCGGAGAUUUUAAGCGAAGAAAUGCAGAAGAGACCACUUACGGAGCUUAUGACGGUCCGUCGUGCUUGUGACGGUACAUAGGUGGCAGCUUAGUGCAGUUGUUGAAGGAAGAUGGGGAAGUCUGACCAUGUGUGGGGUUUUUAAGCUUGUGACGGUCCGUCGUGUCUAUGACGGUCCAUCCUACAGGUUCAUCAUGAAGAUAAGAGAAGUAAUCCCAGUACCUCUAUUCCGAGAGAUGAAGUGUUUUGGAACGAAGGCCCUCGACGAACUGUUGUGCCUAUGACGGUCUGUCAUACUUGCCGUCGAGGGUAAUGAAGAAGAGCAGCAGAAGAAAUUGCACAAGUAUGGGACAACGGAGUCCAUGACGGUCCGUUGUGACCAUGAUUAGAUUGUUAGACUUUUAAUUGUUAGACUUUUGAUUAUCAUUAGACUUUUUGUGAUAUUAUUGAUUACUUUGAGAUUCUUGCAAGUGAUUUUUGGUGAUUAAUCAAGCACAGUUUCGGA